GAUGAAGAACGUAGCAAAAUGCGAUAAGUAAUGUGAAUUGCAGAAUUCAGUGAAUCAUCGAAUCUUUGAACGCACAUUGCGCCCCCUGGUAUUCCGGGGGGCAUGCCUGUUCGAGCGUCAUUACAACCCUCAAGCUCUGCUUGGUAUUGGGCCCCGCCAGUUCUGGCGGGCCCUAAAGUCAGUGGCGGUGCCUUCCGGCUCCGAGCGUAGUAAUUCUUCUCGCUCUGGAGACCCGGUUGUGUGCUUGCCAACAACCCCCAAUUUUUUAAGGUUGACCUCGGAUCAGGUAGGGAUACCCGCUGAACUUAAGCAUAUCAAUAAGCGGAGGA
Molecule: unclassified non-coding RNA, 329 nt
Filed under: soil metagenome
Description: partial contains 5.8S ribosomal RNA, internal transcribed spacer 2, and large subunit ribosomal RNA
Rfam family: 5.8S ribosomal RNA (bases 1-120)
Source: RNAcentral